GUAGGCCCUUAAUGCAAAUGGAAGAUUUAAACCCAACAAAUAAGAUAGACAUGAAGGAUAAUGAUUUCUUCCAGUGAAAUGUGGUUAGAGUUAUAGCUAACAAAUGUUACUCAGAAAUGUCUAUUGCAAUGUUAAUAUACACUGGUCUUAGUUUGCAUUUUCUACCCUUCCCAAAGCCACACCAAUACCACUAUCAUACAAAAGUAAUAUCACUGUUUUUCAGGUCUCUGGACAUUUCUAAACCUUACAUUCCUGCCCUGUUUCCCAUCGGUCAAAAACUUGAAAUGGGUCUCUAUCUCUUGCAUGAAAGAUCAAGAUCAACGGUCUUGAUCAUCGAAUUUGUGUACAGUAGCGGAGGUAAACUGACCACCAGGAUUAGAUGGCUCUUUGCUUCUUCUCUUCCUUGUUAUGUUUCCACCAGGUUCGCAAAACUAUAUAAAUUCAGAAAAUCUACGAAGCUUCUAUUAGAAUUUUAGAAAUUCUAUGAAUUCGGCUACAUCAACAUAGAGGUUGAAUUCAACUACCCAAUGAAGACAAAAUUUUGUGAGUUCCGUCUUCAUUAGGUAGACCAAUUUCAAGGGAAGCUGGAGGGAAUGGAACCUGAAGUCAUGGGUCCUCUACUGCUGCUGGAAAAUACUCCGACAUGCCAGUAUUUGUGUUCUUGUAAUUAAAAAAUGUUAAUAAAAUCCUUGAUGAAAACUUAUGUUCCAUUUAUACCAUAUGGGGCAAAGAUUGUGAUUCAGUCCUUUUUGUUCUUGUUUUGUAGCUUAACAAGGAGUACCAACAAAUUAUUUUUUUUUUUUCUGAUAUAGAUGAUAGAUAUGGACAACCUACAAUAAUUGGAUCAUUUGGUAAAACUGGAGUACCCAACUCAGAUGCUUGGAUAUUUGUGUAAGCUUCAAGAAUGAUCGUCCAGAAGAAUUGGAUGCUAGGAAACAGUUCUAUGGGGCAGCAUCUGCACUGCACAGGUCAUGCACCAAGCUAGCAAAGUCCCCUACUUAUUGGGCCUUGAUUCUCAUGACCUAUUACAGCUGGCAAUGCAGAAUUUUUGAGUUUGCCACUUGAGAGUCUUGUGU
Magnolia sinica is the source of this 1076-nucleotide RNA transcript. RefSeq lists it as uncharacterized. The record is from RefSeq and is a predicted model, not a curated record. The transcript has 2 exons. Lineage: Eukaryota; Viridiplantae; Streptophyta; Magnoliopsida; Magnoliales; Magnoliaceae.